Molecule: ribosomal RNA, 253 nt
Filed under: uncultured bacterium
Lineage: Bacteria
Description: partial 16S ribosomal RNA
Rfam family: Bacterial small subunit ribosomal RNA
Source: RNAcentral
UACGAGUGGUGCAAGCGUUGUUCGGAAUCACUGGGCAUAAAGCGCGCGCAGGCGGCGACGCAAGUCAGCUGUGAAAUCCCCCGGCUCAACCGGGGAACUGCAGCUGAAACUAUGUUGCUGGAGUGUGGGAGGGGAGAGCGGAAUUCCUGGUGGAGCGGUGAAAUGCGUAGAUAUCAGGAGGAACGCCAGAGGCGGAAGCGGCUCUCUGGUCCACUACUGACGCUGAGGCGCGAAAGCUAGGGGAGCAAACAGG